Molecule: long non-coding RNA, 236 nt
Filed under: Elaeis guineensis (African oil palm)
Lineage: Eukaryota; Viridiplantae; Streptophyta; Magnoliopsida; Arecales; Arecaceae
Description: long non-coding RNA (EGUI_LNC079250)
Source: RNAcentral
UUCCAAAUUUACCAAAAGCACACCAUGAAGGCAGUCCCGCAGAUAGGGCUAGAAGUGGGUUGGGCCGUCAGGAGGCUCAUCGAGCUGGGCUUUAGACUUGGCCCUAAACCAUUCAGGCCAGACUUUAGCAAAAAAAAUAGAGUCCGUUUGGCCAUCGGGCUGGGCUCGGGCAGACAUUUGGCCCGGCCCAGAGCCGAUCCGAUUGGAUUCAGAUCGAUUAACCCCCCUCUCCCCCG